This is a long non-coding RNA of Prunus mume (Japanese apricot), 485 nucleotides long. RefSeq lists it as uncharacterized. The record is from RefSeq and is a predicted model, not a curated record. Lineage: Eukaryota; Viridiplantae; Streptophyta; Magnoliopsida; Rosales; Rosaceae.
AAGCGAAACUUUGUACCCGACUGGCUAUCAUAAAAAUGGUUCCAUCCAAAGCGAAACUUUGUAGCUACCUGAUGAGUCUCUUCAUUCUAAUGUUGUUGUUCUCAUCCAAAGCAGCGUUUGCCAGAGUUUCCCACUUUUCAGAAACCAAACAGAACAAAGGUAGAGAGCUUCUGAAAAUGAAUAAUAUUCACCUGGCAAAGAAAAUCAACGCAAAUGACCCAAUUGGCUCGGGUCCAUCGAUUCCGUGAACGGGAUAAAUUAAAAAUCAUACCUAUAUAUUUGAAACAUCUACUGGCCGGCCCGGACUGAGCUAGCGGUAAUAAAGCCGAUGGGCGGUGGUCAGCUGACCCUUCUCAUAUUUGGCAUAUAUAAUAUUUGAUUGUAUGUUUGAAUUUUAUAUGAAUGUAAGGAUUUACAUAAAGGAUGAUGGAUUCACUGCACAUGAUAUGAAGACGGUAACUGAUGACCUCAUCAUUUCCAGUGAA